UACGUAGGGUGCAAGCGUUAUCCGGAUUUAUUGGGCGUAAAGGGCUCGUAGGCGGUUCGUCGCGUCCGGUGUGAAAGUCCAUCGCUUAACGGUGGAUCCGCGCCGGGUACGGGCGGGCUUGAGUGCGGUAGGGGGGACUGGAAUUCCCGGUGUAACGGUGGAAUGUGUAGAUAUCGGGAAGAACACCAAUGGCGAAGGCAGGUCUCUGGGCCGUUACUGACGCUGAGGAGCGAAAGCGUGGGGAGCGAACAGG
This 253-nucleotide ribosomal RNA is filed under the name uncultured bacterium. RNAcentral's name for it is "partial 16S ribosomal RNA". It matches the Rfam family "Bacterial small subunit ribosomal RNA", at positions 524 to 776 of the family's 1533-position model. The record is from RNAcentral.